This is a long non-coding RNA of Lates calcarifer (barramundi perch), 915 nucleotides long. RefSeq lists it as uncharacterized. Lineage: Eukaryota; Metazoa; Chordata; Actinopteri; Centropomidae. The transcript has 5 exons. The record is from RefSeq and is a predicted model, not a curated record.
GGCUGGGCACUGCCCACUUCCUUGUCCCCAUAAGGAAGGAUUUUACCAGCAUGUUACAGGCUGCAAUCCACACGGUGGAUGAAGAGAUGGAUUAUUUACAGAAGAUAUACCAGUUUAUGACCUUGGAAUUUUUGCAAAGGAGCAAAAGUGAAACACAAGACAACCAGCACUGCAGCUGAUUCCAUAGCAGUGGUUGAUUUCCAUCCUUCACUAUGCCAAAGACUCAGAGAGAUGAUGCUACAGGUCCAAACAACUCUCCUCAACAGACAACCAGCACUGCAGCUGAUUCCAUAGCAGUGGUUGAUUUCCAUCCUUCACUAUGCCAAAGACUCAGAGAGAUGAUGCUACAGGUCCAAACAACUCUCCUCAACAGACAACCAGCACUGCAGCUGAUUCCAUAGCAGUGGUUGAUUUCCAUCCUUCACUAUGCCAAAGACUCAGAGAGAUGAUGCUACAGGUCCAAACAACUCUCCUCAACAGGUUAGGCCACCCAGAUGAAGAAAACAUCCUGGCAGCAAACAGAUGUGCAGAUGAUGGAAAGGCGCAUGAAUCGAUUCAUCACAUCUUGUACCAGCGUCAACUGACUGUGAGAAGUAUUUAUGGGCUGAACUGGGAGCAGCAGAAACUGAAAUUCUUCAUUUAUAACCACAUUACGGCCUACAGGCAUGUAAAAGUUGCCUUCCAUUUUUAUUUUUUUUAAUAUGUAUUAUCCUAUUUCUGCUGUGUUGUGCAGUUGACUACAUGCACAGCAAACAGCACUAUGCUUUGUAUCAGUAGCACCAUUUUCUGGCCUCAUACUAUGUCUUUACAUAAACUAUGAGGAAGUAAGCUGAGCUAAAUUUCAAAAUUUGAUAUUGAUUUACUACACCUGUAUUUUUUCUACAAAUUUGCAGAUUAAACUUUUCUUUCAACAAA